GCGGUGGAGCCUGGAGGGGCGGGCCAGGGUCCCACCGUGACCCGCCUGGAGGGCAGCCCAGCUCUGGGACGCGAAACCCCCUACGACGGUGCCGCAGUUCCAAGAGCCUCUGAGUUCCUGUCUUUUUUCAUCUCUGAAUCCCCACCAUUGGCCUACAUUGGGAAUGGGGCGACCUGUGAUGCUGACGUUAGAGGACAAGGACAUGAAGGGAUUCUCCUGGGCCAUAGUCCCAGCCUUAACCUCCCUAGGCUACCUGCUUAUACUGGUGGUCUCCAUCUUUCCCUUCUGGGUGCGACUGACGAACGAGGAGUCCCAUGAAGUCUUUUUCAGUGGCCUAUUUGAGAACUGCUUCUAUGUCAAAUGCUGGAAGCCUCGACCCUUGUCCAGAUCUCGCUUUGUCACCCAGGCUGGUGUGAUCAUAGCUCACUGCAGCCUCCAACUCUUGAGUUCAAGUGAUCCUCCCACCUUAGCCUCCUGAGUAG
RNAcentral lists this small RNA (482 nucleotides) under Pongo abelii (Sumatran orangutan). Its description in RNAcentral is "processed transcript". The record is from RNAcentral. Lineage: Eukaryota; Metazoa; Chordata; Mammalia; Primates; Hominidae.